AGAGUUUGAUCAUGGCUCAGGACGAACGCUGGCGGCGUGCUUAAUACAUGCAAGUCGAGCGAGGUUAUCUUUUCAACGUCCUUCGGGACGGCGAAUUUUUAACCUAGCGGCGGACGGGUGAGUAACGCGUGGGUAAUCUGCCCUAAAGCCCGGGAUAACAGUGGGAAACUGCUGCUAAUACCGGAUAGCUUUAUCUGGAGGCAUCUUCGGAUAAGGAAACGUAAGGCUUUAGGAUGAGCCCGCGUCCCAUUAGCUAGUUGGUGAGGUAACGGCCCACCAAGGCGACGAUGGGUAGCCGGCCUGAGAGGGUGAACGGCCACACUGGGACUGAGACACGGCCCAGACUCCUACGGGAGGCAGCAGUAGGGAAUAUUGCGCAAUGGAGGGAACUCUGACGCAGCGACGCCGCGUGAGCGAUGAAGGUUUUCGGAUCGUAAAGCUCUGUCCUUGGGGAAGAAGAGCGCUUUUAAGCGCCUUUGGCGGUACCCAAGGAGGAAGCCCCGGCUAACUACGUGCCAGCAGCCGCGGUAAUACGUANGGGGCAAGCGUUGUCCGGAAUUAUUGGGCGUAAAGGGUGCGUANGCGGCCUUUU
RNAcentral lists this ribosomal RNA (592 nucleotides) under uncultured bacterium. RNAcentral's name for it is "bacterial SSU rRNA". It matches the Rfam family "Bacterial small subunit ribosomal RNA", at positions 8 to 584 of the family's 1533-position model. The record is from RNAcentral.